This 524-nucleotide ribosomal RNA is filed under the name Ennometes sp. UPOL RK0645. RNAcentral describes it as "partial 16S ribosomal RNA". It matches the Rfam family "Bacterial large subunit ribosomal RNA", at positions 1816 to 2610 of the family's 2925-position model. The record is from RNAcentral. Lineage: Eukaryota; Metazoa; Arthropoda; Insecta; Coleoptera; Callirhipidae.
CAUGUCCUUUUGAUAUUUAUUUAAGGUCUGGCCUGCCCGUUGAUUUAUUAAAUGGCUGCAGUAUUUUGACUGUACUAAGGUAGCAUAAUAAUUAGUUUUUUAAUUGAGAACCAGAAUGAAUGGCUGGACGAGAGAGUGACUGUCUCUAUUUAAUUUUUAUUAGAAUUUAAUUUUUAAGUUAAAAAGCUUAAAUGUUUAUGAAAGACGAGAAGACCCUAUAGAGUUUUACAUUAGUUUAAGUAAUAUUAUUUGGUAAUAUAGUUGUGUUGUUUUUAAAAUGUUUUGUUGGGGUGACAGUAAGAUUUAUUAAACUCUUAUUAUUUUUUUUCAUUUAUUUAUGUUUAUUUGAUCUAUUUUUUUUUAAUUGUAAGAAUAAAUUACCUUAGGGAUAACAGCGUAAUCUUUCUAGAGAGUUCUUAUCGAUAGGAUGGGUUGCGACCUCGAUGUUGGAUUAAAGUUAAUUUUUGGCGUAAAGGUUAAAAAAUUAAGUCUGUUCGACUUUUAAAACUUUACAUGAUCUGAGU